Molecule: long non-coding RNA, 455 nt
Filed under: Capsicum annuum
Lineage: Eukaryota; Viridiplantae; Streptophyta; Magnoliopsida; Solanales; Solanaceae
Description: long non-coding RNA (CANN_LNC010858)
Source: RNAcentral
GAUAACCCACUCAAAUCAGCCCCAACAUAACCCACUCAAAUCAGCCCCAACAUAGAGGAGAAAUAAGAGCCUUAAUGGAGAUAUAAAUAUGAGAGAAGCUCGAAACUUACAAGAUUCGGACGAAAUGAAGACCACCAUGAUGUUCCCGUAAUAACCCGGACCUCAAAUUAAUGUUUUCCAAUUGAUUUUAGAGCUCAAAGUGCGUCCAAAAAGGUUUGAAAUUGGGGAAAUGAAGCUUGUGGUCGAGGAGGAAGCAAGACUAAAAUAGGCCAGCUCCAUUCGACAAUCCUAGCACGUCAUAAAUGACAUGUAACUGCUGUGGGAAUGUACGAAACGCCAAAAAUGCAUGGAAGCUGUGAAAAUGACCUAGAGGGUCAUUACAACUUGUGACUUUCAUUGAUGACCAUUCUUGCUAGCUCUAGGUAUAUCCUUUAAUAUCCAAAGCUCAAGUACUU